AGAGUUUGAUCCUGGCUCAGAACGAACGCUGGCGGCGCGUUUUAAGCAUGCAAGUCGAACGGUAAAAAGGUGCUUGCACCUUUUGAGAGUGGCGAACGGGUGAGUAACACGUAGGUGAACUGCCUUGGGAUUGGGGAUAGCCCAUGGAAACAUGGAGUAAUACCGAAUAAGUCUGUAGAUCUUGUUCUACAGGGAAAGGAGCGAUUGCUUCGUCCUAAGAUGUGCCUGCGCCUGAUUAGCUUGUUGGUAAGGUAAGAGCUUACCAAGGCGACGAUCAGUAGCCGGCCUGAGAGGGUGACCGGCCACACUGGGACUGAGAUACGGCCCAGACUCCUACGGGAGGCAGCAGCUAAGAAUCUUCCGCAAUGGGCGAAAGCCUGACGGAGCGACGCCGCGUGGAUGAUGAAGGCCGAAAGGUUGUAAAAUCCUUUUCUUAGUGAAGAAUAACAUGGAGAGGAAAUGCUCUGUGGAUGACGUUAACUUUGGAAUAAGCCCCGGCUAAUUACGUGCCAGCAGCCGCGGUAAUACGUAUGGGGCAAGCGUUGUUCGGAUUUAUUGGGCGUAAAGGGCGCGUAGGCGGUUUAACAAGCUUGAUGUGAAAGACACCAGCUCAACUGGUGGAACGCAUUGAGAACUGUUAAACUAGAGUUCGAGAGGGGAGACUGGAAUUCCUGGUGUAGGGGUGAAAUCUGUAGAUAUCAGGAAGAACACCGGUGGCGAAGGCGAGUCUCUGGCUCUGGACUGACGCUGAGGCGCGGAAGCGUAGGGAGCGAACAGGAUUAGAUACCCUGGUAGUCUACGCUGUAAACGAUGUGCACUGGGUGUUGGUCCCACUAUUAUAUUGGUAAUGGACCUAAAUUAGUUGUUGGAAAUUGUAACUAUAGGCGUAAGGUUAUAAUAGAAGAAACUAACUUGAUUGGGCUUUUUGAAGCCUAAGAUGUAAUAGUGGGAUCAGUGCCGUAGCUAACGCGUUAAGUGCACCGCCUGGGGAGUAUGCCCGCAAGGGUGAAACUCAAAGGAAUUGACGGGGGCCCGCACAAGCGGUGGAGCAUGUGGUUUAAUUCGAUGAUACGCGAGGAACCUUACCAGGGUUUGACAUAUACAGGAAGACAUAAGAGAUUAUGUUGCUGCUUGCAGUCUGUAUACAGGUGCUGCAUGGUUGUCUUCAGCUCGUGCCGUGAGGUGUUGGGUUAAGUCCCGCAACGAGCGCAACCCCUGCUGUCAGUUACUAACAGGUAAUGCUGAGGACUCUGGCGGAACUGCCGGUGACAAACCGGAGGAAGGUGGGGACGACGUCAAAUCAUCAUGGCCCUUAUGUCCUGGGCUACACACGUGCUACAAUGGCCGGUACAGAGUGACGCGAAACGGUGACGUGGAGCAAAUCACAUAAAGCUGGUCUCAGUUCGGAUUGAAGUCUGAAACUCGACUUCAUGAAGUUGGAAUCGCUAGUAAUCGCGCAUCAGCAUGGCGCGGUGAAUACGUUCCCGGGCCUUGUACACACCGCCCGUCACACCACCCGAGUUGGGGGUACCCAAAGUUGCUAGUCUAACCUGCAAAGGAGGACGGUGCCUAAGGUAUGCUCGGUAAGGGGGGUGAAGUCGUAACAAGGUA
RNAcentral lists this ribosomal RNA (1611 nucleotides) under metagenome. Its description in RNAcentral is "bacterial SSU rRNA". It matches the Rfam family "Bacterial small subunit ribosomal RNA". The record is from RNAcentral.